RNAcentral lists this long non-coding RNA (226 nucleotides) under Elaeis guineensis (African oil palm). RNAcentral's name for it is "long non-coding RNA (EGUI_LNC021946)". The record is from RNAcentral. Lineage: Eukaryota; Viridiplantae; Streptophyta; Magnoliopsida; Arecales; Arecaceae.
GACAGCUUCUAACUAUUCCAAGAUCGCCUUCAAGUACUCCAAGCCCAAAACUGACUAACUAUCUCGGCCAGAUAAGUGUAAGAUGUGGGAGGUCCCCUGCUUGUUGCUUUCCUUAGACACCAACUGAGUUGGCCAGGUCAGACAACGGAACCAAUUGAAAACCACCUUUUUAAACCACUUGCCUUAGACACCGAGCAAUUAAUCAAUUCGAACCCGGUCUAACUUU